UACGGAGGGUGCAAGCAUUGAUCGGAAUUACUGGGCGUAAAGGGCGCGUAGGCGGUCAGACCAGUCAGAUGUGAAAUUCCGGGGCUCAACCCCGGAGCAGCAUUUGAAACUAUUUGACUAGAGUUCAGUUAGGGAAAACGGAAUUCCACGUGUAGCGGUGAAAUGCGUAGAUAUGUGGAAGAACACCGGUGGUGAAGACGGUUUUCUGGGCUGAAACAGACGCUGAGGCGCGAAAGCUAGGGGAGCAAACGGG
Molecule: ribosomal RNA, 253 nt
Filed under: uncultured bacterium
Lineage: Bacteria
Description: partial 16S ribosomal RNA
Rfam family: Bacterial small subunit ribosomal RNA
Source: RNAcentral